Molecule: non-coding RNA, 85 nt
Filed under: Chrysanthemum chlorotic mottle viroid
Lineage: Avsunviroidae
Source: RNAcentral
CUUCCAGUCGAGACCUGAAGUGGGUUUCCUGAUGAGGCUGUGGAGAGAGCGAAAGCUUUACUCCCGCACAAGCCGAAACUGGAAG